AGCGAACGCUGGCGGCAGGCUUAACACAUGCAAGUCGAGCGGGCAUAGCAAUAUGUCAGCGGCAGACGGGUGAGUAACGCGUGGGAACGUACCUUUUGGUUCGGAACAACUGAGGGAAACUUCAGCUCAUACCGGAUAAGCCCUUACGGGGAAAGAUUUAUCGCCGAAAGAUCGGCCCGCGCCUGAUUAGCUAGUUGGUGAGGUAAUGGCUCACCAAGUCGACGAUCAGUAGCUGGUCUGAGAGGAUGAUCAGCCACAUUGGAACUGAGACACGGCCGAAAAUCCUACGGGAGGCAGCAGAGGGGAAUAUUGGACAAUGGGCGCAAGUCUGAUCCAGCCAUGCCGCGUGAGUGAUGAAGGCCGUAGGGUUGUAAAGCUCUGUUGUGCGGGAAGAGAAUGACGGUACCGCAAGAAUAAGCCCCGGCUAACUUCGUG
Molecule: ribosomal RNA, 435 nt
Filed under: uncultured bacterium
Lineage: Bacteria
Description: partial 16S ribosomal RNA
Rfam family: Bacterial small subunit ribosomal RNA
Source: RNAcentral